CAGGGUGGGAGAUGGGAGCACCGCAGCCCGGCCUCCCCCGGGCGUCACCGGCGUUUGCGCCGACCUUAGGUGACCCCGUGUGGCCAGGCGCAGGAGGAAGGCCGUGGCGGAGUGCGAACGCCCCCGACGAGGGACGGAGGCUCGGAGAUGGCGAAGCUCGGCUGGAGUCAGGUGUGCCGGCAGCGCGGGAGGCUCGCUGCUGCUCUCGGGGUGGGGAGAAGCCCUCUCUCCCUCCGGGCUGUGACCCCCGCCCACGGGAUCCGCUCCCGGAAGUACCGCGGCUCUGUGCUGCUCCUCGGUUUGGAUGCAGAUUCUGACAGGUUCCGGUGGUUGUGGGAGCUCAUGGCGUGUGUGCGAGGGGUCGUCUCUUCCUCUCUACACCGGCGUCGCUGGAAAGGGCUCCUGGAAACUUAAUUCCAUGUGUCCUGCCCCUGGUCAUUUGAACCAGGAUCUCCAGGCUGCCGCCUUAGCAGCCGUUUGCGUAAGCUGACAGGUUGCCAUGCUUUCGGAAAGGGCUGUCCGUAGUGAUUACCCGACCUUACAGAAUGAUAAAUAGGUGUUCAGCAACUAAGUUUGAGUACUUGCUUAUUGGUGACUUAGAAAUAUGUUCUACUCCCUGACAGAUAUAGGGCAGUCCCUGGGUGACUGGAUGAUAAAAGAAAAUGCAGCGGAGGAGGAAUAUUUUCAAAUUGAAACUGGGAUUGUUAGCUAAUUUAUGUCUUCACUGGAGAAAGCCCAUUUAACUUGGCAUGACUUUCACAGCUUUUACAGUUCAGAGACAGUAUUGGGGGCUUCUGUUGGGAAUGUAUUUUUAUAUUUUCAGUUCAAAUUUCCACCUGUAACAUAAAAGUGUUGGCUUAAUAAUAAGUAUAUUGUCAAUCUAAAAGAACCGUGGACUGUGUGGGGAAAGCCGUAUUUUCUUCCAGAGAUGUACUCCUGGCGUAGAACAAUUCACACAAUCCUUCGAACCCUUCUUUUCUAUCUGUAAAAUAAACGUACUUCUCACCGUCUGA
This is a non-coding RNA of Cricetulus griseus (Chinese hamster), 1013 nucleotides long. Lineage: Eukaryota; Metazoa; Chordata; Mammalia; Rodentia; Cricetidae. The record is from RefSeq and is a predicted model, not a curated record.